ACAGAGACAACAAUGAAAAGCCAGGGUUUUUUGGAGCCUUAAAAAUAUGAAGUGACAAAGUGUGCCCUUUGUGUCGGGAUUGACGUGGUACAAGGCUGACACGGUGCACCCUCUAGGGAUUGAUCUUCCAGCCCGGAUAAAAUGCCAGAAGUAGGUCAGGAAGAAGAGAGAAAGUGAGGAAGAGAGAAAAUCCUUUGGAAAGUACACACCCCUGAACUCCCAACGUGUUUGUUGUUGAAGUAUUUCUGACAUGGACAAGACUGUACUAAGGUGCUGACUGUUGAUUGGCAGAUAAAACCACAACUGUAUUAUUGCUGCAGCACUCAGCUCUGCCCAGGAUCCACGGCAGUGUCAUACCCUGAUCUGCUGACUGUGUCCAGUCAGUGGAGGCCGAUGCUGGUACUCAUACGACUGUUGAGUGACAGAGUGACGAAAGCCAACCUGAGGUGAUGAUGCACACACUGCUGGUUGGGAGCCACUCCACUGUCAGCUGCCUCAUCUCCUCCUUCAGCCGCUCACACUCCACCUUCAUCUCCACUUCCCUCUGACAAGCCCCCUGAGCCUCGUGCCUCGCCCCCUCCAGCUCGGCCUCCAGCCUCUGCAACUUCAGCAUCAUCACCUCCUUCAGCUUGUUGGUACAAUAGGUAAUUGUGAAAGAGCAAAAGAACUGAGAUCUUCCAAGGACGGCUUCUUUCAGCCUGCACCUGGGUGAUGUGAUCUGCGUGGGCAAGUGAGUGAUUCAGCUUCAGUCAGUCCUUGAGCCAGAAGACAAAGAAUCCAUGCAGCAGCAUCAGCUCCUCAUCAGCACUGUGGUCCCUCUGGAGGUUGCUUUUCUCCAUGUGAAUCUUCUCGUAGGCCUGGAUCACGUCUUCCAGCUGCUCCUCCCUCUCCUUCCUCUUUUGGAGCUGCAGUGAAAGAGAAAGUGGCCAGCCUGGUCUUGAUGUCCUGAUAGGCCGUGAUGAGGGGGAAGUGGUUGGGGGCGUAGACAUCGUCCGGGGGCAGGG
Long non-coding RNA from Cynoglossus semilaevis (tongue sole), 1004 nucleotides. RefSeq lists it as uncharacterized. The record is from RefSeq and is a predicted model, not a curated record. NCBI's taxonomy places the organism in Eukaryota, Metazoa, Chordata, Actinopteri, Pleuronectiformes, Cynoglossidae. The transcript has 7 exons.